RNAcentral lists this long non-coding RNA (2310 nucleotides) under Carica papaya (papaya). RNAcentral describes it as "long non-coding RNA (CPAP_LNC012071)". Lineage: Eukaryota; Viridiplantae; Streptophyta; Magnoliopsida; Brassicales; Caricaceae. The record is from RNAcentral.
GAAUUAAAAGAAGAACAUAAAAUUCAUCAAUAAUUAAAAAAAAUUAAAAUCAGAAUUCCAUCUUUAAAAAAUAAUAAAAAUCUAUCCCGUCUGGGAAGAAAGCAAUAAAGAGGUGGAAAUAUUUCGGCUGUUGAUGUUGUUCGUUGGUCUGGGCAAUUUUGUUUCUGUCUCCAAACAGAAACACAAGCAGAAGCAAAAGAAGAAAAUCAUUCUUGAAUCAGUUCAUCAAUCAAUCAGGUAACCGCAGUUAAUUUUUUAUUUAUUUAUGAAUUUCUGUUUGAAUUUCGAUUCUAAUUCGUUUGUCAGAGGUUUAAAUCAGCGCGCAACUUAGCUUUUUGCUAGCUGCGAUUAUAUCUCUUUAGGAUUUUCUUUAUUGCUCUAGUCCCCUUUCGUGUGGAUUUUGCUGGUUAAUAAGACGUAAUCUGGCGAUGAUUGAUGCACGUUUCGUGGAUUUUCUAUAGCUGGGAGAUUACGUUGUGAACUACUGCAGAUAGACUGUUGUUACGUGCAUAUAACUCAAAAUUACUUGUGCGUUUCGUAGAUCCUGACUUACCUUCUCGUUUAGGACGUCAAUUUUGGCGUGGUUAGUUGGUAAUUUGCUUAAGUUCUUCGGAGAUCAUACCAAUGGUCUUCAACUUGCACGGUAUUUGGUCAUGGAAUUGUGAGUAGGGAAUGUUUUGAAGCUCGCUAUCCAAUUCUGAGUACUGUUAAAUAUCCAACGUCAUGAAUGUCACUUCCAGUUUGGUGUUGAAAUUUGAUAGAGAUGGUGUUCAAAACACACAGGUGUUUGGGGAUGGCAAGCUUGUUUUUAUUUUGUUUAAUUUUUGUUUAUAGCUCAUUUGUUAGUGGAUUAGAUAAAAGGAGUUGAUGUAGGUUAUCAAUUAAGGGAAUCUCAGAAGGGUGGAGGGGAGGGGGGAUUGGGGAAGUAAACCUACUUGUUCACUUUAUCUUUUAUCCCAAUUGGAUAGAUCUUUUUUCCAUUAUUCUUGUGAUGCUAGGCAGGGAUGUGAAGGAUAGGGCUACUAUUGCGGGCAUCAAUUUCUGACACAAAUGUAAAAUCGAAAUUAAUGAUCAGUAAUGGAGUGGAGAAAAGACUGAACUUGGGUUUGCAUUAGAUUUUUACCAAUGAUUUGAGCCUGUUGGGCUGAAACUCCUUUAUGUUGCUGUCGAAGAUGAUAUGAUUGCUGUCAAAAAGCAUUGGUAACAUUACAUAUUUCUUCAAUCCUCAGAUAUAAGGUACUAGAACGUAAGAAAAUAAUACUAGAAGGAAGUAGCGGACAGAAGUCAAAGAAACUAGAUGAGUAGUCGGAUAUUUUUGGCUUAUAUAUAACUGAAAAUAUGAAAUUUUACCUAGUUAUGCAGUUUUCCCAUGUAACUUUCAGAUGCAAGGUGUCUUAGACUAUCUUCUCCAAACAGCUACCUCAGUUUACUGAUGUGGGGAGGAGAAGUGAAACCUGUUACCUGUAACCUACAGCUUGAAGUUUCUUGUAAAAUGAUAACGGUUUGUGUUCCUUACUGCACCUGCAUGACUUUAGGUUAAUAACAAGAUAUUUGGGCGAGUAUUUUAGGAAUAUUGGACACAUGAUAAUCUAAUGGGGGCAAUUCUAUUUUAUGUAGUUGAAAUAAGUAGUUAGAUGAAAGUUGUUCGAUUGGGUCUAUCUAAUGCAUUGAGAUUAGCUAUUUCUUUCUCUUUCUGUUGGUAGAAUUUGACCCUAAGAGCUGCAUGUAGCUGCCCAGUUAUUUAAUGAUGUAAGCUACAGCCAGAGAAAAGUUUGUUUUUUUUGUUUAUUGACCGGAUAUAUCUGCUCAAGACCAUUCUCAAAGUUGCCCUAAAUUACUGAACUGUUACCUGUUCUUUUUAUGUUUUUGAGAGAGAGAGAAAAAAAAAGUGAGAUGUCAAUAUCAGGAGAAGCAUGUUUUAGAAAUUGCAAGUCUGUUUGCUAGGUACGGUGAGUGGUAUUGGUAUUGAGCUUUGUCAAACUUAUUAAAAGACUUAUGGCUGCAUAUGAACAGUAUAUAUAUGUAGUGAAGCUGCUUGAGUAAUACAUGAAAAUUAAAACUGAGAUUAUCGGCAGUAUUGAGCUUAAUAUACAUAAUUCAUGUUGCUUGAACGUUAGUGUGGGUAUAAGGUCUAAAUCCGACACUUGACACACAUGUUAGGCAUGAUGACCUAGAACUAGAGGUUACAGUAUAUGAUAACAUAAAGACAAUGAUUAAGAUUACAAGUUUAGGAGUUAAAAAACAAACAAAAAAAUUGGUUAUUGAAUGUCCAAAUAUUUGAGUAUUUUUUGUAUUAACAAAUACUCAAAU